UGUGAACUCGAAGAGUAGGGCGGGACACGUGGUAUCCUGUCUGAAUAUGGGGGGACCAUCCUCCAAGGCUAAAUACUCCUGACUGACCGAUAGUGAACCAGUACCGUGAGGGAAAGGCGAAAAGAACCCCGGCGAGGGGAGUGAAAAAGAACCUGAAACCGUGUACGUACAAGCAGUGGGAGCACCUUCGGGUGUGACUGCGUACCUUUUGUAUAAUGGGUCAGCGACUUAUAUUCUGUAGCAAGGUUAACCGUAUAGGGGAGCCGCAGGGAAACCGAGUCUUAACUGGGCGUUAAGUUGCAGGGUAUAGACCCGAAACCCGGUGAUCUAGCCAUGGGCAGGUUGAAGGUUGGGUAACACUAACUGGAGGACCGAACCGACUAAUGUUGAAAAAUUAGCGGAUGACUUGUGGCUGGGGGUGAAAGGCCAAUCAAACCGGGAGAUAGCUGGUUCUCCCCGAAAGCUAUUUAGGUAGCGCCUCGUGAACUCAUCUUCGGGGGUAGAGCACUGUUUCGGCUAGGGGGUCAUCCCGACUUACCAACCCGAUGCAAACUACGAAUACCGAAGAAUGUUAUCACGGGAGACACACGGCGGGUGCUAACGUCCGUCGUGAAGAGGGAAACAACCCAGACCGCCAGCUAAGGUCCCAAAGUCAUGGUUAAGUGGGAAACGAUGUGGGAAGGCACAGACAGCCAGGAUGUUGGCUUAGAAGCAGCCAUCAUUUAAAGAAAGCGUAAUAGCUCACUGGUCGAGUCGGCCUGCGCGGAAGAUGUAACGGGGCUAAACCAUGCACCGAAGCUGCGGCAGCGACACUAUGUGUUGUUGGGUAGGGGAGCGUUCUGUAAGCCUGCGAAGGUGUGCUGUGAGGCAUGCUGGAGGUAUCAGAAGUGCGAAUGCUGACAUAAGUAACGAUAAAGCGGGUGAAAAGCCCGCUCGCCGGAAGACCAAGGGUUCCUGUCCAACGUUAAUCGGGGCAGGGUGAGUCGACCCCUAAGGCGAGGCCGAAAGGCGUAGUCGAUGGGAAACAGGUUAAUAUUCCUGUACUUGGUGUUACUGCGAAGGGGGGACGGAGAAGGCUAUGUUAGCCGGGCGACGGUUGUCCCGGUUUAAGCAUGUAGGCUGGUUAUCCAGGCAAAUCCGGAUAACCAAGGCUGAGGUGUGAUGACGAGGCACUACGGUGCUGAAGUAACAAAUGCCCUGCUUCCAGGAAAAGCCUCUAAGCA
This 1223-nucleotide ribosomal RNA is filed under the name Klebsiella pneumoniae. Its description in RNAcentral is "partial 23S ribosomal RNA". It matches the Rfam family "Bacterial large subunit ribosomal RNA", at positions 398 to 1629 of the family's 2925-position model. The record is from RNAcentral. Lineage: Bacteria; Pseudomonadati; Pseudomonadota; Gammaproteobacteria; Enterobacterales; Enterobacteriaceae.